Molecule: ribosomal RNA, 695 nt
Filed under: uncultured rumen bacterium
Lineage: Bacteria
Description: bacterial SSU rRNA
Rfam family: Bacterial small subunit ribosomal RNA
Source: RNAcentral
UUUUGAUUUCUUCGGAUUGAAGGAGUGACUGAGCGGCGGACGGGUGAGUAACGCGUGGGGAACCUGCCCCAUACCGGGGGAUAACAGUUGGAAACGACUGCUAAUACCGCAUAAGCGCACAGGAAGGCAUCUUCCAGUGUGAAAAACUCCGGUGGUAUGGGAUGGACCCGCGUUGGAUUAGCCAGUUGGUGGGGUAACGGCCUACCAAAGCGACGAUCCAUAGCCGGCCUGAGAGGGCGACCGGCCACAUUGGGACUGAGACACGGCCCAAACUCCUACGGGAGGCAGCAGUGGGGAAUAUUGCACAAUGGGGGAAACCCUGAUGCAGCGACGCCGCGUGAGUGAUGAAGUAUUUCGGUAUGUAAAGCUCUAUCAGCAGGGAAGAAGACGACGGUACCUGACUAAGAAGCCCCGGCUAACUACGUGCCAGCAGCCGCGGUAAUACGUAGGGGGCAAGCGUUAUCCGGAUUUACUGGGUGUAAAGGGAGCGCAGACGGCAGUGCAAGUCUGAAGUGAAAACCCGAGGCUCAACCACGGGAUUGCUUUGGAAACUGUACAGCUAGAGUGUCGGAGGGGUAAGCGGAAUUCCUAGUGUAGCGGUGAAAUGCGUAGAUAUUAGGAGGAACACCGGUGGCGAAGGCGGCUUACUGGACGAUAACUGACGUUGAGGCUCGAAAGCGUGGGGAGCAAACAGG